CAGCCGCCACGGUAAUACGUAGGUGGCAAGCGUUGUCCGGAAUUAUUGGGCGUAAAGGGCUCGCAGGCGGUUUCUUAAGUCUGAUGUGAAAGCCCCCGGCUCAACCGGGGAGGGUCAUUGGAAACUGGGAAACUUGAGUGCAGAAGAGGAGAGUGGAAUUCCACGUGUAGCGGUGAAAUGCGUAGAGAUGUGGAGGAACACCAGUGGCGAAGGCGACUCUCUGGUCUGUAACUGACGCUGAGGAGCGAAAGCGUGGGGAGCGGACAGAAUUAGAUACCCCUGUAGUCCCUGUCUCUUAUAC
This 301-nucleotide ribosomal RNA is filed under the name uncultured bacterium. RNAcentral describes it as "partial 16S ribosomal RNA". It matches the Rfam family "Bacterial small subunit ribosomal RNA", at positions 509 to 807 of the family's 1533-position model. The record is from RNAcentral.